Molecule: ribosomal RNA, 3723 nt
Filed under: Candidatus Microgenomates bacterium
Lineage: Bacteria; Candidatus Microgenomatota
Description: bacterial LSU rRNA
Rfam family: Bacterial large subunit ribosomal RNA
Source: RNAcentral
CUACAAAAUGCAAACAGCGGAUACCUUGGUCCCAUGAGACCUAUGAAGGACGUACAUGGCAGCGAAAUGCGUCGGGGAGGAGCCACGAUCCUGUGAUCCGGCGGUGUCCGAAUGGGGAAACCCAUCUCGUUUCAUAGCGAGAUACCCACAUCCCAAGUUUCCAGUUUACUGGGAUAUUAAGGUGUGUGGAGGGAACCUCCCGAACUGAAACAUCUAAGUAGGGAGAGGAAACAAAAUCAAGUAGAGAUUGCCUGAGUAGCGGCGAGCGAAACGGCAAGAGCCCAAACUCCGCCCUUUGCCUUCGGGUGAAGGAUGGAGGGUUGUAGGACUGACGACAUGGCAUUAGCAAUGGAUAGCAGAACUCUUUGGAAUGGGAGACCAUAGAAAGUGAAAGUCUUGUAUGCGAAAUCUAUUACUAGCCUAGUCAGCACCUGAGUACCACGGUCACAAUCUGUGGGAAUCUGGGGGGACCAUCCUCCAAGGCUAAAUAUCUCUGGGAACCGAUAGUGAACUAGUACCGUGAGGGAAAGGUGAAAAGAAGUGCGGGACGCACAGUGAAAUAGAACAUGAAACUGUUUGCAGACAAACCGAUAGAGCCCUUAUUUAUAAGGGUGAUAUCGUGCCUAUUGAAGAAUGAACCUGCGAGUUGUCAUUUUCUGCGAGUUUAACCCCGACUAAUCGGGGGAAGGCGAAGGGAAACCGAGUGCGACAAGCGCGAAUUAGCAGAACGUGGCAGACCCGAAACCAGGCGAUCUAACCAUGAGCAGGGUGAACUCCGGUGAAAACCGGAGGGAGGCCCGAACCGGUGUAAGUUGCAAUUUGCUCGGAUGACUUGUGGUUAGGGGUAAUAUGCUAAACGAGCCUGGAGAUAGCUGGUUCUCCCCGAAAGGUGUAUAGGCACCGUGGUCGUGAAUAAACAUAUGGGAGGUAGAGCUACUGAAUGAGGCAGCGAGGGAAACUGAGUUGUCUCAACCAAACUCCGAAUUACUAUAUGUAUGCGCGACUAGACAAUCCCUAGGGGCUAAGCUCUAGGGUUAAAAGGGAAACAACCCAGACCAUCAGCUAAGGUCCCCAAAUCAAUACUUAGUGGUAAAGGAAGUGGAAUUCCAAAGACAGCCAGGAUGUUGGCUUAGAAGCAGCCACCAUUCAAAGAAAGCGUAACAGCUCACUGGUCAAGGAAUUCUGCGCCGAAGAUUCAACGGGGCUCAAGUAUUGUACCGAAGCUAUGGAUCCCCGAUUUUAUCGGGGGUGGUAGGGGAGCGUUCUAUAUGCGGUGAAGGUGUGCUGUAAGGCUAUCUGGAGCGUAUAGAAGUGAGAAUGCAGGUAUGAGUAGCGCACUAUGCUGGUGAGAAUCCAGCACACCGAAUACCCAAGGUUUCCCCGGAGACGUUCGUCGGCCGGGGGUUAGUCGGCUCCUAAGGCGAGGCCAGAAGGCGUAGUCGAUGGAUAACGGGUCAAUAUUCCCGUACUUGUUUUAGUUUGUUUGAACUGGGGAGUGACUGAAUUGGAGAUCUCAAGCCCCUUCGUGAAGUGGGGUGUAAGCCAUUAAAUAGUUCCGAGUAGAAAAUCUAUCGGAAUGAUUAAUUGAGUGGCGAUGCAAAGUGUGGCGAAAGCCGUGCGAUUUGUAAAUCUUCAGUUUACGAGAAAAGCUUCGCAGUGAGAACUAAAGCGAGCCGUACCGCAAACCGACACAGGUGGGUUGGUCGAGUAGACUAAGGUGAGCGAGAGAAGGAUGCUUAAGGAACUCGGCAAAUUAGCUGGAUGUAACUUCGGGAGAUAUCCUGCCCCGCACAAUUUAUUGAUGUGGGGUCGCAGCUAACGAUUGCUAGUCGACUGUUUAUCAAAAACACAGGUCCAUGCGAAACCGAAAGGUGAUGUAUAUGGGCUGACGCCUGCCCAGUGCUGGUAAGUUAAAUGGAUGGGUGCUCCGGUGUUUCACCGGAAUGCUUUGAAAUGAAGCUCCAGUAAACGGCAGCAGUAACUAUUAGAAAAUAGUAGUUGAGAAUAGCUCUGCUAAAUGCAGAUAUUCGCUAUUCCGUCUUGCUUUGCAAGAUGAAAAACUUGGCUAUAUGCUGGAAUACCUUGACAGGUCAUCUGUACUGCUGAUUAUAUUAAAUCAGUAGUGAAAAUCAGAUGAAUAGAGGCAAUCAGCAGGAAAGACCAAAAACGUCGAUAGAUAGAGUACCUGAUAACUUGGGUUGGUAUUUUGCCGGAUUUGUUGACGGGGAGGGAAGUUUUAACAUCUCUCUUCGUAAAAAGGCAGAUUACAGGCAACAAUGGCAACCAGUAUUGUCUUUCAAUGUGUCUCAAAGAGAUAAAACUAUUCUUGUUUUAAUGAAGAAACACUUUAAGUGUGGAAUCAUAAAACAAAGAAGAGACGGUUUAUAUUCCUUUGAUAUUACAAAUGAUAUUACAAAUCCGAAAGCAAUUCAGGAGAUAAUAGUUCCUUUCUUUAAUCAAUACAAUUUUUUAUCGAGCAGUAAAAGUAAAAACUUUUUAAUUUUUAAGAAAGCUGUUGAGCUUAUGUAUAACAAACAGCAUUUGAAAGAGGAAGGAUUUUUAAAAUUACUCAAAUUGAGAGAAAUAUUGAACAAAGGUAAAGGAAGAACUAGAAAAUAUUCUAUUAACGAUGUUAUGGAAUCCUCAGAGACUACACGCCAAGUCCCGACUUAGUCGGGAAUGAUAUAGUCCGAUCUUUAUGGAGACAUAAAGUGUUUGGCAGAAAUGCUCAAACCUUUGGGCAAUUGAGUUGCUCAAAAGUAACAAUUAUGAACUGUUCUACGGUAGCGAAGUUCCUUGUCUGGUAAGUUCAGACCCGCACGAAUGGCGUAACGAGCUAGCAACUGUCUUGAGCAUUCACUCGGCGAAAUUGCGGUGGCUGUGAAGACGCGGCCUACACACACCAGGACAAAAAGACCCCGUGGAGCUUUACUGUAGUCUGGCAUUGAUUUGUGCAUUUUAAUUGUCUAGCGUAGGAGGGACCCCGAUUUAAUCGGGGGUCAAUGUAACACCUCUCUUUAGAAUGUGGCAAAUCUUACCUAAGGGCGCUGAAGGCGCGUCCAGGGAACGUGUCAGAUGGGCAGUUUUACUGGGGCAGUACCCUGCAAAAAGGUAAUGCAGGGGCACAAAGGUUGGCUUACUACGGAUGGAAAUCGUAGGGAAAGCGUAAAGGUUUAAGCCAGCUUGACUGCGACACCGACGGGUGAAGCAGGUACGAAAGUAGGUCUUAGUGAUCCUCCGAUCCACCAUGGGUGUGGACGGAGCUUAACGGAUAAAAGCUACCCCGGGGAUAACAGAGUAGUCGCGCCCGAGAGUCCAUAUCGACGGCGCGGUUCGCUACCUCGAUGUCGGCUCAGCACAUCCUGGGGGGGGAGCACCUCCCAAGGGUUGGUCUGUUCGCCCAUUAAAGUGCUACGUGAGCUGGGUUCAGAACGUCGUGAGACAGUUCGGACUCUAUCCGGUGUGUGCGUUCGAUUCUUGAAGGGAGCUGGCCUCAGUACGAGAGGACCAGGCUGGGGGAAUCCCUAGUGUGCCGGUUGUCGCGUCAGCGGCAACGCCGGGUAGCUACAUUCCUAAGGGAUAACCGCUGAAAGCAUCUAAGUGGGAAGCCCACCCUAAGAUGAGGAAUCGUAUUAUGAAGACCCCUGGAAGAACACCAGGUUGAUCGGCAAGCAGUGGAAGCGCGGUAACGUGUUAAGCUUACUUGUACGAAUCGGUCGAAAG